UCCGGAGGGAGCUAGCGUUGUUCGGAAUUACUGGGCGUAAAGCGCACGUAGGCGGCUUUGUAAGUUAGAGGUGAAAGCCUGGAGCUCAACUCCAGAACUGCCUUUAAGACUGCAUCGCUUGAAUCCAGGAGAGGUGAGUGGAAUUCCGAGUGUAGAGGUGAAAUUCGUAGAUAUUCGGAAGAACACCAGUGGCGAAGGCGGCUCACUGGACUGGUAUUGACGCUGAGGUGCGAAAGCGUGGGGAGCAAACAGG
This 253-nucleotide ribosomal RNA is filed under the name uncultured bacterium. RNAcentral's name for it is "partial 16S ribosomal RNA". It matches the Rfam family "Bacterial small subunit ribosomal RNA", at positions 524 to 776 of the family's 1533-position model. The record is from RNAcentral.